This 253-nucleotide long non-coding RNA is filed under the name Ictidomys tridecemlineatus (thirteen-lined ground squirrel). RNAcentral describes it as "lncRNA (ENSSTOG00000032045.1)". The record is from RNAcentral. Lineage: Eukaryota; Metazoa; Chordata; Mammalia; Rodentia; Sciuridae.
UUAUAAAGUUUUUUUAUUUUGACACAGGGUCUGGCCAAGUCACCCAAGUUUGCCUCAAAAACUCGCAGUCCUCUUGUCUCAGCCUUCCAAGCCUCUGGUACUACAGGCUGUGCACAGUGCCCAACUGAUUUUAGGCCAUCUCAGCCUGCUGUGUUUUCUUUUUGCAGAGACCAGCAAUCAGAAGUGAAAGAGUUGGAGCCCAGAUUUGAAUAAUACAUUUUCUUCAAGUUCAAAAAAUCUAGAAAAAGAUUUU